RNAcentral lists this ribosomal RNA (342 nucleotides) under Triticum aestivum (bread wheat). RNAcentral describes it as "partial small subunit ribosomal RNA". The record is from RNAcentral. Lineage: Eukaryota; Viridiplantae; Streptophyta; Magnoliopsida; Poales; Poaceae.
AUGCAAUGUAAAGAACUGCCUUUGUGUUGGUUUCAUUUUUGGAUAUGCUUCGAUGUAUUUCAUCAAUGGGAAGCAGCUUUGCUUUGCGUUUGUGUUAAGAACCGCCUUUUAUGUUGCGACUGGCAUAACGGGCCGCGAGUUCCUAUAGAGCCACAAAGAAUAGUUGAAACUGUAUUUGUUCUAUCCCUAUUGGCCCAUGAGGCCCAGUCCCAUUUCUAUCAAGUGAGACUGAUGAUCUUGGAGGGCACAAGUGUGUCUGCGCCAGCGCGCCCGUUGCUGCUACUAGAAAUAAUACUAGCAGCAUCACAUCAGGAUGACGAGUGGGAGCCACACUUGGGCUGA